Molecule: ribosomal RNA, 505 nt
Filed under: uncultured bacterium
Lineage: Bacteria
Description: partial 16S ribosomal RNA
Rfam family: Bacterial small subunit ribosomal RNA
Source: RNAcentral
GACGAACGCUGGCGGCGUGCCUAAUACAUGCAAGUAGAACGCACAGUUUAUACCGUAGCUUGCUACACCAUAGACUGUGAGUUGCGAACGGGUGAGUAACGCGUAGGUAACCUGCCUGGUAGCGGGGGAUAACUAUUGGAAACGAUAGCUAAUACCGCAUAAUAUUGAUUAUUGCAUGAUAAUUGAUUGAAAUAUGCUAUUGCAUCACUACCAGAUGGACCUGCGUUGUAUUAGCUAGUAGGUGAGGUAACGGCUCAGCUAGGCGACGAUACAUAGCCGACCUGAGAGGGUGAUCGGCCACACUGGGACUGAGACACGGCCCAGACUCCUACGGGAGGCAGCAGUAGGGAAUCUUCGGCAAUGGACGAAAGUCUGACCGAGCAACGCCGCGUGAGUGAAGAAGGUUGUCGGAUCGUAAAGCUCUGUUGUAAGAGAAGAACGGGUGUGAGAGUGGAAAGUUCACACUGUGACGGUAUCUUACCAGAAAGGGACGGCUAACUACGUG